AAAUCAGUUAUCGUUUAUUUGAUAGUACCUUUACUACUUGGAUAACCGUGGUAAUUCUAGAGCUAAUACAUGCUAAAAAUCCCGACUGUUUGGAAGGGAUGUAUUUAUUAGAUAAAAAAUCAAUGCUCUUUGAGCUCUUUGAUGAUUCAUAAUAACUUUUCGAAUCGCAUGGCCUUGUGCUGGCGAUGGUUCAUUCAAAUUUCUGCCCUAUCAACUUUCGAUGGUAGGAUAGUGGCCUACCAUGGUUUCAACGGGUAACGGGGAAUAAGGGUUCGAUUCCGGAGAGGGAGCCUGAGAAACGGCUACCACAUCCAAGGAAGGCAGCAGGCGCGCAAAUUACCCAAUCCCGACACGGGGAGGUAGUGACAAUACAUAACGAUACAGGGCCCUUUCGGGUCUUGUAAUUGGAAUGAGUACAAUGUAAAUACCUUAACGAGGAACAAUUGGAGGGCAAGUCUGGUGCCGGCAGCCGCGGUAAUUCCAGCUCCAAUAGCGUAUAUUAAAGUUGUUGCAGUUAAAAAGCUCG
This 526-nucleotide ribosomal RNA is filed under the name uncultured eukaryote. RNAcentral's name for it is "SSU rRNA". It matches the Rfam family "Eukaryotic small subunit ribosomal RNA", at positions 103 to 630 of the family's 1831-position model. The record is from RNAcentral.